GGUCCAGUGGCGCAAUGGAUAACGUGUCUGACUACGGAUCAGAAGAUUCUAGGUUUGACUCCUGGCUGGCUG
RNAcentral lists this transfer RNA (72 nucleotides) under Salmo salar (Atlantic salmon). It matches the Rfam family "tRNA". From Rfam's summary of the family: Transfer RNA (tRNA) molecules are approximately 80 nucleotides in length. Their secondary structure includes four short double-helical elements and three loops (D, anti-codon, and T loops). The record is from Rfam by way of RNAcentral. Lineage: Eukaryota; Metazoa; Chordata; Actinopteri; Salmoniformes; Salmonidae.